This 413-nucleotide long non-coding RNA is filed under the name Ficedula albicollis (Collared flycatcher). RNAcentral's name for it is "lncRNA (ENSFALG00000027459.1)". The record is from RNAcentral. Lineage: Eukaryota; Metazoa; Chordata; Aves; Passeriformes; Muscicapidae.
AAAAAAAGGAAAAAUUGAAAAUGGAAACAAGCUAGUUUGCAGCAUCAUUUCUAGUCUAAAACCUGUCCCCUUAGCCAGGGAAGAGUAUGUUCAGACACUGUGAGAGGGGAAAGAGCUUGGCUGCAGGUGAAAUUUAGAGAGGUAUAAAAGGUGUCCUGUUAUUUAGAAGAUUGGUCUCUUUAAUGCUUGCCUAAAUGUAACUAGAUUUCACAAGUUUGCCCUAUUUUCUCAAAAGUAGAAACGGUAAUGUGGAGUUGAGUGUAAUAAUGGUGUUCUCAAGAGCAGAAGGUGCCAUAUAAUUUAAAGUCUUAAGAGCUGCUGUGUCUUGUCUUAGGGUUUCACUAUACCACUAUGAACCACACCAAGCAAAGAGAAAGAAAGCAACUUACAUCAGGGAAGGCUGCCUUGGGAAA